Long non-coding RNA from Gossypium arboreum, 407 nucleotides. RefSeq lists it as uncharacterized. The transcript has 2 exons. The record is from RefSeq and is a predicted model, not a curated record. Lineage: Eukaryota; Viridiplantae; Streptophyta; Magnoliopsida; Malvales; Malvaceae.
ACACAACUAAAGGAAGGAAAUUAAGGAAACAAAAUCCAAAUUAAUGAUGCCCAAAAUGAAGGCAUUUCUUAUAGCUUGCAUUCUCUUGCUUUUCAGUCUUGCUAUUUUCACUGCACCUGCCUCAGCUCGACCACUAGUUGCCCUAAAAAAGGGUAGCAGCCCAAAGCCAAGGCUAGGGCCGAGUCCUAAGUGUAGCAUUGUAAACAGUAAACGCAUAUGCGUUUGACAUCAAUGAUGAUCCAACUGCUCAUGAGGAAAAGAAGGGAGUCCUCAUCUCGAUCGUUUGUCCAAUGUAUCCACUACAUAUGCAUGGGGUUUUUAUCAAAUAAUAUGUUUGGAGUAUUUUGUAAUUUACAGUGAUAAUAAUAUUUGAGGAUGGGUUGCCUUUAAUAUUUUAGACAUUAAAA